GACGAACGCUGGCGGCGUGCCUAAUACAUGCAAGUAGAACGCUGAACGAUGAGCUUGCUCUUCUGGAUGACUUGCUAACGGACGAGUGACGCGUACGUAACCUGCCUGGCCUUGGGAGGAUAACUAUUGGAAACAAUAGCUAGAUACCGCAUAACUACAAUUGUCUCAUGACAUCUGUUAAAAAUAUGCAGUUGCCUCACUACCAAAUGGACCUGCGAUGGAUUAGAUAGCUGGUGAGGUAACGGCUCAACGAGGCAACGAUACAUAACCGAACUAACAGGGUGAUCGGCCACACUGUGACUGACACACUUGCCACACUCCUACGGGAGGCACUCCUACGGAAUCUUCGGCAAUGGACUGAUCUCUGACCGACCAACGCCUCAUGAAUGAACAACGUUUUCGGAUCGAAAAGCUCUGUUGUAAGAAAAUAACGAGUGCGAGACUGGAAAGCUCACUCUGUGACGGUAUCUUACCAGACAGGGACGGAUAACUACGUGCCAGCUACCUCGGUAAUACCUACGUCCCGAGCGUUGUCCGGAUUUAUUGUGCGCAAAACUAGCGCACGCAGAUAGAUAACUCUGAAAUUAAACGCUGUGGCUUAACCAUACUACGCUUUGCACACUGAUUAACUUGAAUGCUGCAAUCUAGAGUGUAAUUACAUGUGUAGCGAUUACAUGCGUAGAUAUAUGGAGGCACCCCGGUGGAGAAAGCGGCUCUCUGGCUUGUAACUGACGCUGAGGCUCGAAACCGUGGAGAGCACACAGGAUUAGAUACCCUGGUAGUCCACGCUGUAAGCGAUGAGUGCUAGGUGUUAGACCCUUUCCGGGGUUUAGUGCCACAGCUAACGCAAUAAGCACUCCGCCUGGGGAGUGCGCCCGCAAGGGUGAAUCUCAAAGGAAUUGACGGGGGCCCGCACAAGCGGUGGAGCAUGUGGUAUAAUUAGAAGCAACGCGAAGCACCUUCACAUGUCUUCACAUCCCUACGGCCGCUGUAGAGAUAGAUUUUUCUUUCGAGCCAGAGGUCACAGGUGGCGCAUGGUUGUUGUCAGCUCGUGUCGUGAGAUGGGGGGAUAAGUCCCGCAGCGAGCGCAACCCCUAUUGUUAGUUCCCAUCAUUCAGUGGGGCACCCUAGCGAGACUCCCCGUACUAAACCGGAGGAAGGUGGGGAGGACGUCAAAUCAUCAUCCCCCUUAUGACCUGGGCUCCCCACGUGCUCCAAUGGAUGGUACAGCGAGUCGCAAGCCGGCGACGGCAAGCUAAUCUGUGAAACCCAGUCUCAGUUCGGAUUGUAGGCUGCAACUCGCCUACAUGAAGUCGGAAUCGCUAGUAAUCGCGGAUCAGCACGCCGCGGUGAAUACGUUCCCGGGCCU
This 1369-nucleotide ribosomal RNA is filed under the name uncultured bacterium. RNAcentral describes it as "bacterial SSU rRNA". It matches the Rfam family "Bacterial small subunit ribosomal RNA", at positions 28 to 1381 of the family's 1533-position model. The record is from RNAcentral.